RNAcentral lists this ribosomal RNA (577 nucleotides) under uncultured fungus. RNAcentral's name for it is "eukaryotic LSU rRNA". The stretch from base 227 to 380 matches the Rfam family "5.8S ribosomal RNA". Lineage: Eukaryota; Fungi. The record is from RNAcentral.
AGAGGAAGUAAAAGUCGUAACAAGGUCUCCGUAGGUGAACCUGCGGAGGGAUCAUUACAGAGUUCAUGCCCUCCGGGUAGAUCUCCCACCCAUUGCUAUAACUACUCUCGUUGCUUUGGCGGGCCGCUGGGCCCUGCCCGGCCGCCGGCCCCGGCUGGCGCGUGCCCGCCAGAGACCUCACAGACUCUGAAUGUUAGUGUCGUCCGAGUAACUAUACAAUCGUUAAAACUUUCAACAACGGAUCUCUUGGUUCUGGCAUCGAUGAAGAACGCAGCGAAAUGCGAUAAGUAAUGCGAAUUGCAGAAUUCAGUGAGUCAUCGAAUCUUUGAACGCACAUUGCGCCCUGUGGUAUUCCGCAGGGCAUGCCUGUUCGAGCGUCAUUUCAACCCUCAAGCCUCGCUUGGUGUUGGGCCCUGCCCGCCGCGGCCGGCCCUAAAGACAGUGGCGGCGCCGCCUGGCCCUCAGCGUAGUACAUCUCUCGCUCCAGGGUCCGGCGGCAGCCUGCCAGAACCCCCCAACUCUGUGGUUGACCUCGGAUCAGGUAGGGAUACCCGCUGAACUUAAGCAUAUCAAUAAG